GACCCACUAGCUCAGUUGGCAGAGCACCUGACUUUUAAUCAGGGUGUCCCGCGUUCGAGUCGCGGGUGGGUCACCA
RNAcentral lists this transfer RNA (76 nucleotides) under Veillonella sp. oral taxon 780. RNAcentral's name for it is "tRNA-Lys". It matches the Rfam family "tRNA". Rfam says of the family: Transfer RNA (tRNA) molecules are approximately 80 nucleotides in length. Lineage: Bacteria; Bacillati; Bacillota; Negativicutes; Veillonellales; Veillonellaceae. RNAcentral also lists the same sequence under 4 other names. The record is from RNAcentral.